UACGUUGUCUGCUAUACGCAGGAAGACCCGU
RNAcentral lists this ribosomal RNA (31 nucleotides) under Trichomonas sp. RNAcentral's name for it is "partial 28S ribosomal RNA". The record is from RNAcentral. Lineage: Eukaryota; Parabasalia; Trichomonadida; Trichomonadidae.